Molecule: ribosomal RNA, 247 nt
Filed under: uncultured Actinomycetales bacterium
Lineage: Bacteria; Bacillati; Actinomycetota; Actinomycetes; Actinomycetales
Description: partial 16S ribosomal RNA
Rfam family: Bacterial small subunit ribosomal RNA
Source: RNAcentral
GGAUUAGUGGCGAACGGGUGAGUAAUACGUGAGUGACCUACCUUUGACUCUGGGAUAAGCCUGGGAAACUGGGUCUAAUACCGGAUACGACCAAUCUCCGCAUGGGGUGUUGGUGGAAAGGGUUUUUCUGGUGCGGGAUGGGCUCGCGGCCUAUCAGCUUGUUGGUGGGGUGAUGGCCCACCAAGGCUUCGACGGGUAGCCGGCCUGAGAGGGUGACCGGUCACAUUGGGACUGAGAUACGGCCCAG